CAAGUCGAACGAAUCUUCUUCGGAAGAUGAGUGGCGAACGGGUGAGUAAUACAUAGGUAACCUGCCCCUGUGCGGGGGAUAACAGGAGGAAACUCCUGCUAAUACCGCAUAGCCAUGAGCACCGCAUGGAGCUCAUGCCAAAUAUCCUUUCGGGGAUAGCGCAGGGAUGGACCUAUGAUGCAUUAGCUUGUUGGCGGGGCAACGGCCCACCAAGGCAACGAUGCGUAGCCGGCCUGAGAGGGCGGACGGCCGCAUUGGGACUGAGACACGGCCCAGACUCCUACGGGAGGCAGCAGUAGGGAAUUUUCGGCAAUGGGGGAAACCCUGACCGAGCAACGCCGCGUGAGCGAAGAAGGCCUUCGGGUCGUAAAGCUCUGUUGUAAAGGAAGAACGGCGCAUACAGGAAAUGGUAUGCGAGUGACGGUACUUUACCAGAAAGCCACGGCUAACUACGUGCCAGCAGCCGCGGUAAUACGUAGGUGGCGAGCGUUAUCCGGAAUCAUUGGGCGUAAAGAGGGAGCAGGCGGCCGCAAGGGUCUGUGGUGAAAGACCGAAGCUAAACUUCGGUAAGCCAUGGAAACCGGGCGGCUAGAGUGCGGAAGAGGAUCGUGGAAUUCCAUGUGUAGCGGUGAAAUGCGUAGAUAUAUGGAGGAACACCAGUGGCGAAGGCGACGGUCUGGGCCGCAACUGACGCUCAUUCCCGAAAGCGUGGGGAGCAAAUAGGAUUAGAUACCCUAGUAGUCCACGCCGUAAACGAUGGUCACUAAGUGUCGGGGGUCAAACCCCGGUGCUGCAGUCAACGCAAUGAGUGACCCGCCUGAGUAGUACGUUC
This 832-nucleotide ribosomal RNA is filed under the name uncultured bacterium. RNAcentral's name for it is "bacterial SSU rRNA". It matches the Rfam family "Bacterial small subunit ribosomal RNA", at positions 58 to 887 of the family's 1533-position model. The record is from RNAcentral.